GACUCGGUGGCGCAACGGUAGCGUGUCUGACUCCAGAUCAGAAGGCUGUGUGUUCAAAUCCCGUCCGGGUCA
This 72-nucleotide transfer RNA is filed under the name Araneus ventricosus. It matches the Rfam family "tRNA". From Rfam's summary of the family: Transfer RNA (tRNA) molecules are approximately 80 nucleotides in length. Their secondary structure includes four short double-helical elements and three loops (D, anti-codon, and T loops). Lineage: Eukaryota; Metazoa; Arthropoda; Arachnida; Araneae; Araneidae. The record is from Rfam by way of RNAcentral.